RNAcentral lists this ribosomal RNA (497 nucleotides) under uncultured bacterium. Its description in RNAcentral is "partial 16S ribosomal RNA". It matches the Rfam family "Bacterial small subunit ribosomal RNA", at positions 28 to 507 of the family's 1533-position model. The record is from RNAcentral.
GACGAACGCUGGCGGCGUGCCUAAUACAUGCAAGUUGAGCGCUGAAGGUUGGUACUUGUACCAACUGGAUGAGCAGCGAACGGGUGAGUAACGCGUGGGGAAUCUGCCUUUGAGCGGGGGACAACAUUUGGAAACGAAUGCUAAUACCGCAUAAAAACUUUAAACACAAGUUUUAAGUUUGAAAGAUGCAAUUGCAUCACUCAAAGAUGAUCCCGCGUUGUAUUAGCUAGUUGGUGAGGUAAAGGCUCACCAAGGCGAUGAUACAUAGCCGACCUGAGAGGGUGAUCGGCCACAUUGGGACUGAGACACGGCCCAAACUCCUACGGGAGGCAGCAGUAGGGAAUCUUCGGCAAUGGACGAAAGUCUGACCGAGCAACGCCGCGUGAGUGAAGAAGGUUUUCGCAUCGUAAAACUCUGUUGGUAGAGAAGAACGUUGGUGAGAGUGGAAAGCUCAUCAAGUGACGGUAACUACACAGAAAGGGACGGCUAACUACGUG